RNAcentral lists this long non-coding RNA (793 nucleotides) under Homo sapiens (human). RNAcentral's name for it is "HSALNT0183207". Lineage: Eukaryota; Metazoa; Chordata; Mammalia; Primates; Hominidae. The record is from RNAcentral.
CUUGGUUGCCCCAGAAAAACACCAGCAUCUGGUAGACCAGAAAAGAAGCCACUGAUGGAAUGCUGCAAGAAGGGGUUUACCAUGCGGUGUGAUUUCUGGGACCCCUUCUUCCCUGUUGAAAAUAUUUCACAGGCCCCCAGGACCUCCCCCAAAAGACAAGGGCAGAAACCAAAGAAAAUGCACUGUUCCAAUUUUGUCCAGGCUGCCUGUGGAAUGAGAAACCCAUGAGAAAGUUAUUGAGACUUCAGUUUUCUAUUCCUCUCCUUAUCCGGCCUCAUUACCUCCCCAACCCCUGAGAGAAAAAAUAAAUAAUUCACAAACAAAGGACGAGGGUGUGGUGGAUUGAGAGCAGGUUUGCUUGGUGACAGGAGGACUCUGUAGAGGGGGUCUGUUGGGAGGUGAGCAGGAGGGAGUGGCUGCUCCAGAGCCCACAGUUCUGUCCAGAAAGGUGGAAGUAACACAGGCAUCAUGAAGGCUUCUGGAGGCAGGGGCUGAGCCCUCUCACCGCAAGGACCACAGAAGCCAGGGCUGGACUCCUGGCCCGGGAAGCUCCAGUCCCAUGGACUCUAUCCCACUCCUUUGUCUCUUUCUCCCUCCUGUGCCUGCCCCGCCUGCCCCUUGCUCUGUCUUCAUCCUGGGAAGCCAGCUGCAGCAUGUAGGAGAGAAGGGCUCUGUCACGGCUGUCUCUAGUGUGUUAUUGUUAGUGUUACAUUACAAAUCCCGUUUCCAUGCCAGGGUCCCUCGGGGGUCAUAACCAGGAGAGGCCAUGACCCUGUCAAUAAACAGAACCCCA